Molecule: long non-coding RNA, 3684 nt
Filed under: Salvia miltiorrhiza (redroot sage)
Lineage: Eukaryota; Viridiplantae; Streptophyta; Magnoliopsida; Lamiales; Lamiaceae
Description: long non-coding RNA (SMIL_LNC005081)
Source: RNAcentral
AGAUAAUUAUAAGCGAGUUCUAUAACAUCUUCUUUAUAAUACGAAUAUACGAAUAUCGCUUAGCCUACGUGGCAUUCUUAAAAUCACGCCAUUUCAAAAUUUUGCAGCGUCACCAUUCUUCAAGCCCUUCAAUUCACAUUCACAGUUUUCUUCACCGUUUCCUUUAAUCAUGCCUUAAUCACAUAUCUAUUAUGCUCUAAUCAACAUUCCAUGGACUAUCAACGGCCUCUGAAUCAUCUCCUUCCUCCAUGGUUUAUGUUCACGAUGAAAUCUUCUUUAUUUGCCUCUCAAUUUUCCUGCGUUAUCUCCAUUGAUUAUGCCCUAAUCAGGAAACUAUCAUUGGCUGAUGCUCAAUUCUCCGACCCGACCAUAGCACCUGGCACAGCCGCCAAUGGCUGCCCCGCCGCAGGCGAAAAAUCGCCAUCGCCGCUGAUGCCCAACUUCUCCGAUCGCCCACCCUCUCCGACCCGACCAUGGCACCUGGCACAGCCGCCAAUGGCUGCCCCGCCGUAGGCGAAAAAUCGCCAUCGCCGCCGAUGCCCAACUUCUCCGAUCGCCCACCCCUUGCCUCUAUCUCACUCGGUUGUCGGGCUAGAAAUCGCCAUCACCGCCGAUGCCCAACUUCUCCGAUCUCCUCCCAUUUUCACACUCGAGUGGCGCCGAGAAGAAGAAACUCUUCGCCUCCAUCAUCAGCUCCUAUCUCCGUUGGUAAAUGAAAUUAUGAAAUUCCUUAGCUGAUUUGCAACCCAUUUUUUCAUACUUCAGUUAUAGAUUUGUAUUGAUUCUUACAUUCUUGAUUCGCAGGAAAUUGUGAAGUGAUAGUGCAAGCGAAGAAUUUCACUUCCGAAUCAAAUGGUGAUAGUUUUCAAAUCUCUAUUUCCAAAACUGCCAAAAUCAGUAUUUCAGGUAUCCAUGUCCCUCUGACGAGGUUCGGAAUAAUAUUGUUAUUUGUUUUUAUUUCUUAAUUAAUUAAUUUUUGGUGGCAGUGAUCGGAAAAGCGAAUGAACACGACAAUGGUGGAGGCGGAGGACAUGAGAAAUCUGGUAUUUGUUUUAGUUCCAUAUGGGCUUUUCUUUUCGAAUAUUUGAUUUAGAUUAGUUUAACAUUGCCAUACACGUGAAGCAUAUUAUUUUCUUGAUUGGUUAUAUAGGUUUAAGCUUUAUUGAAUUGUUAGUGGUGUAAAUCCAAGAUAAUCCGGAGAGGGAGCCUGAAUGAGCUUUCAUCUUUUGCUGAGAAAUAAGAAAGUUGCAUACCUGAGGAUUUAGACCUUGCAUCUGAUUUAUGAUUCCAUCCUGUACAUAAAAGACUGAAUAUUAGUAUCUCAAAUUACUUUCGAAAGUACAAGGAAAAAAAUGGUCAAGACUAUGGAAGUUUAGGGAAAUGGGAACUGGCAGUUUGCAUGCUACUUGGUAAAACCGGGGUAUAUCAGAGGUGGUACAUAUCAUGGCGUAAAGAAAAACUAAAAAAAUUAGGAUAAAUAUGAGCUUGAAUGAAAAAGAUAGCAGACCUCUAAUAUCCCUGGCUUUAUCUUUUGAUUAUAUAUAGUUAUGUUAUAGAUGACUUUUUCAUUAUUUCUUUUUCUUUCUCUGUACCUAUUUAACUACACUCUCUAAUUAUUCUACGCAAUUGCUCUCUUUCUCUAUGUGUCUGCCAAAUCAGCGUUUCUUAGUGCUACUAUAGAUUUAGUUCAGCUAAGAUUUUCAUUAGUUACUACAGUUUUUGAAUGUUGAGUAGCAUAUUUUAUAAGAAAAUAACAAGACUUUAUCAAAAUUGAAAUAUAUUUUUGCAUGCUGUCAUCUUCAGGUUCUGGAGUUGGUCCAGAAGUUGGGGAAAAUACUUACUCUGCAGUGGCUAUAGGAAUAAAUAUAUGGGUGGCCAACGAUUAUGUACCUAUGGUUGAACCAAUACUUCACUUAUUUAUUAGAAUGUUCUUUAUAUUGAGAUGCAUUACUUAUUAUUUGUUAUUUUGCUGAUUUAACCAAUGCUUUCAAUAAAUUUAGAUACGCUAUGCAAUAGCCCAAAGACCCGUUUUUAGCUUCAGUUUGAAGGGCUAAAUGAAAGGGACAUUCUAUGAAAGGGAUCCACACUCGCCUUAUCUAAUCAAUGCCUUUCAGCUGAUUGGAAUGUCCUCGUGCCUCGAUCUUUCUGGCUUCUUUGAGAAAGAGGUAAUUAAGGAAGCUCGAGUCAUGCAUGUUGGCAUAAGUAACGAUUCUUAUACCUAAAAUAUGUACAUACUGCCAGUUUGUUUCUGAGAGGAAUAUCAGGUUUACAUCAAAUCACUGUCCAAAAGAAUUGCUGGAGAGAAUUGAACAUACAGUUGUAGAAAUGGGAUUUCAUGCCCAUAAGAAAAACGGAAAGGUUGGUUUCAUGCCUUAUACACUUAAUCCUCAGAGAGUGUUUAUCCUAUUCCUAUGGAAUCCUUUCUAACAGUGUGUCUUAAAUAUGUAUAGUUGAAAGUCACGCUAUAGCCAAAGAUCAGAAAGCACCAAAAAUUCUCUCAGUAGCUGCAGAAGUGAGUGAGAGUGAAUGUGGAAGGAGAUGCUGGUAUAGCUAGCUUCCCAUGGUCUCUUUAUUUUGUUACUUAGGCUCUUCUUAUUUUAGUUGGUGAUUAGAGACGAUGUCAUUGUGUGUAUGUGGCAUAAUUCUAUUGUUACUAAUAUGAUAGGCGCGAACAUGCGAGGGCUGUGGAGAUUCUUACAAUUGUCUUUGAAUAACCCAGAAUGACAACACAUGGAUUCUCUUAGAUGCGUGAGUAUUGCUCAUUUGUAUUCCUAAAAAUGUAUGUUUUGAGAAAACAGUAUAGUAUGCAUCGAAUAUCUAUUAUCUAUUUUACAACUAUCAAUAUGAAUUUUUUGUAUCAAGAACUGUUUCAGCUAUGGUGCUGGCUUGCUCGGUUCUUUGGCAUCCAUGUGAAUGCUUGGCAGUAUUGAUUCCAUGGCCGAUGGAGCAAGAGGGGUGAUCAAGUAUGUUUUCCAUCAAUUUUUCUUUUUCUUUGAUCAUUAAAUUUUCUUAGAUAGUGGCCUACAUAAUGUGUGUGUUAAGUUGUCAUUGUAGUUGCUUGUGCAUUUUUUGCUCCUUUUGUUUUUGUUCGAUUCAGAACUUCUCAUUGCACGGGAGUAAUGGAGCAGCCAAGGCUGUUGGUCACAUAUUACAAGCUUUAGCAUGUCUGCCGAUUUUAUUGUCCUCACUCUUAAGAUGAAAAGUUAUAUUCAGAACAACUUAUGAAUAGUUUGUAAGUUGCCAUACUCUACAUUAUACUAAAAUUGAUAUUUUUUCAGAUUUGAUUGUGCUUAAUAAUAUGAAUUGGCUGUGUUUAUCUGGGUUAUGGGCUUCUUACUAAGAAUUUGUAUGUGUUGGAUCAAUUAUGUGCAUAAUAAUUUAAGCCUUGCAGGGAUUCGAGUUCAAAGCCUUAAAGAAGGUCAAAUCACAAUGGAUAUUGACUUAUGCUGGGGUGGUCAUCCUACCAAAACAGAUCUGUAUUUUGCAUCAAGUUUAGCACAUCUGAUUCCUGCAACAUCCUACUCUUCUCAUCUCUCUCAACUACUCUUGUACCUUUCAUGCCAGUUGGAGAUCCCAAAGCAGUUAUUUCAUCCAAAUGUAUUCAAUGGCUGGAUAAUUCUUUUCUUGAAUAUAUUGGAGAGGCUUGUCCCUGUAGAAGGACAACCUGAAGAUCCCGAGCUAUGA